GUUGUAUGGUUAAGAGACAAAGCGUACAAGGUGGAUGCCUUGGCAAUCAGAGGCGAAGAAGGACGUGCUAAUCUGCGAAAAGCUCGGAUGAGUCGAUAAGAGGCGUUUAAUCCGAGAUAUCCGAAUGGGGAAACCCGGUGGGUGAAGAGCCCACUAUCAUUAUCUGAAUCCAUAGGAUAAUGAGGCGAACCGGGAGAACUGAAACAUCUAAGUAUCCCGAGGAAAAGAAAUCAACCGAGAUUUUGUGAGUAGCGGCGAGCGAAAGCGAAGGAGCCUGUUAGUGAUAGCGACAGAGACAGAGGAAUGUGCUGGGAAGCACAGCGAGACAGGGUGAUAGCCCCGUACUCGAAGUCUGGGUCGUGGUACUAAGCUAACGAAAAGUAGGGCGGGACACGUGAUAUCCUGUUUGAAGAAGGGGGGCCCAUCCUCCAAGGCUAAAUACUCCUGAUUGACCGAUAGUGAAGCAGUACUGUGAAGGAAAGGCGAAAAGAACCGGGGUGACCGGAGUGAAAUAGAACCUGAAACCUUGUACGUACAAGCAGUGGGAGCCUGAAAGGGUGACUGCGUACCUUUUGUAUAAUGGGUCAGCGAGUUAUAUUUUGUAGCGAGGUUAACCGGAUAGGGGAGCCGAAGGGAAACCGAGUCUUAACUGGGCGCUUAGUUGCAAGGUAUAGACCCGAAACCCGGUGAUCUAGCCAUGGGCAGGUUGAAGGUUGGGUAACACUAACUGGAGGACCGAACCGACUAAUGUUGAAAAAUUAGCGGAUGACUUGUGGCUGGGGGUGAAAGGCCAAUCAAACCGGGAGAUAGCUGGUUCUCCCCGAAAUCUAUUUAGGUAGAGCCUUGAGCGGACACCUUUGGGGGUAGAGCACUGUUUCGGCUAGGGGGCCAUCCCGGCUUACCAACCCGAUGCAAACUACGAAUACCGAAGAGUGAUACUCAGGAGACACACGGCGGGUGCUAACGUCCGUCGUGGAGAGGGAAACAACCCAGACCGCCGGCUAAGGUCCCAAAGUACUAAUUAAGUGGGAAACGAAGUGGGAAGGCUUAGACAGCUAGGAUGUUGGCUUAGAAGCAGCCAUCAUUUAAAGAAAGCGUAAUAGCUCACUAGUCGAGUCGGCCUGCGCGGAAGAUGUAACGGGGCUAAAAUUAGUCACCGAAGCUGCGGCAUCAGGCGUAUCACUAAUACGCCUUACGAUUAACAACUUGCGAAAUGAAGAGAAGCAAGUUGGUCAAGCGCCAAACACGUUGAGACGGAAGUCAUGACGGGAUGCGGUUGGGAAUUGAGGAAUAUUAGUGAUACGCCUGUUGGGUAGGGGAGCGUUGUGUAAGCGGAAGAAGGUGUAUUGAGAGGUAUGCUGGACGUAUCACAAGUGCGAAUGCUGACAUAAGUAACGAUAAAACGGGUGAAAAACCCGUUCGCCGGAAGACCAAGGGUUCCUGUCCAACGUUAAUCGGGGCAGGGUGAGUCGGCCCCUAAGGCGAGGCUGAAAAGCGUAGUCGAUGGGAAACGGGUUAAUAUUCCCGUACUUGGUAAAGCUGCGAUGUGGGGACGGAGCAGGUUAGGUUAGCGUGCUGUUGGA
Molecule: ribosomal RNA, 1583 nt
Filed under: Aggregatibacter actinomycetemcomitans
Lineage: Bacteria; Pseudomonadati; Pseudomonadota; Gammaproteobacteria; Pasteurellales; Pasteurellaceae
Description: partial 23S ribosomal RNA
Rfam family: Bacterial large subunit ribosomal RNA
Source: RNAcentral